This is a long non-coding RNA of Ipomoea nil (Japanese morning glory), 83 nucleotides long. RefSeq lists it as uncharacterized. The transcript has 2 exons. Lineage: Eukaryota; Viridiplantae; Streptophyta; Magnoliopsida; Solanales; Convolvulaceae. The record is from RefSeq and is a predicted model, not a curated record.
AUAUUGUCUUUGUGCUUAAGUAGGUUGAGAAGGUAUGUAUGGACAGAUACUACAUUUUAACAAAGUCAGUAGUACUCAAAAAA